UACGUAGGGUGCAAGCGUUGUCCGGAAUUAUUGGGCGUAAAGAGCUCGUAGGCGGUUUGUCGCGUCGAAUGUGAAAACCCGGGGCUCAACUCCGGGCCUGCAUUCGAUACGGGCAGACUAGAGUUCGGUAGGGGAGACUGGAAUUCCUGGUGUAGCGGUGAAAUGCGCAGAUAUCAGGAGGAACACCAGUGGGAAGGCGGGUCUCUGGGCCGAUACUGACGCUGAGGAGCGAAAGCGUGGGGAGCGAACAGG
This 252-nucleotide ribosomal RNA is filed under the name uncultured bacterium. RNAcentral describes it as "partial 16S ribosomal RNA". It matches the Rfam family "Bacterial small subunit ribosomal RNA", at positions 524 to 776 of the family's 1533-position model. The record is from RNAcentral.